GACGGAGGGUGCGAGCGUUGUUCGGAUUGACUGGGCGUAAAGGGCGUGUAGGCGGUUGGUCAAGUCUGGUGUGAAAGCCCGGGGCUCAACUCCGGAAGUGCACUGGAAACUAGCCAGCUGGAGCGCGAGAGAGGAGGGUGGAAUUCCUGGUGUAGCGGUGAAAUGCGUAGAUAUCAGGAGGAACACCGGCGGCGAAGGCGGCCCUCUGGCUCGUUGCUGACGCUGAAACGCGAAAGCGUGGGGAGCAAACAGG
This 253-nucleotide ribosomal RNA is filed under the name uncultured bacterium. RNAcentral's name for it is "partial 16S ribosomal RNA". It matches the Rfam family "Bacterial small subunit ribosomal RNA", at positions 524 to 776 of the family's 1533-position model. The record is from RNAcentral.